CCUACGGGAGGCAGCAGUGAGGAAUAUUGGUCAAUGGGCGGGAGCCUGAACCAGCCAAGCCGCGUGAGGGAAGAAGGCUCUCUGUAUCGUAAACUUCUUUUGUCCGGGAGCAAACGCAGAUACUCGUCUCUGUCUGAGAGUAUCUUAAGAAUAAGCAUCGGCUAACUCCGUGCCAGCAGCCGCGGUAAUACGGAGGAUUCCAGCGUUAUCCGGAUUUAUUGGGUUUAAAGGGUGCGUAGGCGGUCGGGUAAGUUAGCGGGUAAAUGCCGAGGCUCAACUCCCGACUUGCCUCUGAUACUGGCGGGCUAGAGAUGAGGUGAGGUACGCGGAAUGCAUGGUGUAGCGGUGAAAUGCUUAGAGAUCAUGCAGAACACCGAUUGCGAAGGCAGCGUACCAGCCU
Molecule: ribosomal RNA, 400 nt
Filed under: uncultured bacterium
Lineage: Bacteria
Description: partial 16S ribosomal RNA
Rfam family: Bacterial small subunit ribosomal RNA
Source: RNAcentral